UUAAGCGACUAAGCGUACACGGUGGAUGCCCUGGCAGUCAGAGGCGAUGAAGGACGUGCUAAUCUGCGAUAAGCGUCGGUAAGGUGAUAUGAACCGUUAUAACCGGCGAUUUCCGAAUGGGGAAACCCAGUGUGUUUCGACACACUAUCAUUAACUGAAUCCAUAGGUUAAUGAGGCGAACCGGGGGAACUGAAACAUCUAAGUACCCCGAGGAAAAGAAAUCAACCGAGAUUCCCCCAGUAGCGGCGAGCGAACGGGGAGCAGCCCAGAGCCUGAAUCAGUGUGUGUGUUAGUGGAAGCGUCUGGAAAGGCGCGCGAUACAGGGUGACAGCCCCGUACACAAAAAUGCACAUGCUGUGAGCUCGAUGAGUAGGGCGGGACACGUGGUAUCCUGUCUGAAUAUGGGGGGACCAUCCUCCAAGGCUAAAUACUCCUGACUGACCGAUAGUGAACCAGUACCGUGAGGGAAAGGCGAAAAGAACCCCGGCGAGGGGAGUGAAAAAGAACCUGAAACCGUGUACGUACAAGCAGUGGGAGCCUCUUUUAUGGGGUGACUGCGUACCUUUUGUAUAAUGGGUCAGCGACUUAUAUUCUGUAGCAAGGUUAACCGAAUAGGGGAGCCGAAGGGAAACCGAGUCUUAACUGGGCGUUAAGUUGCAGGGUAUAGACCCGAAACCCGGUGAUCUAGCCAUGGGCAGGUUGAAGGUUGGGUAACACUAACUGGAGGACCGAACCGACUAAUGUUGAAAAAUUAGCGGAUGACUUGUGGCUGGGGGUGAAAGGCCAAUCAAACCGGGAGAUAGCUGGUUCUCCCCGAAAGCUAUUUAGGUAGCGCCUCGUGAAUUCAUCUCCGGGGGUAGAGCACUGUUUCGGCAAGGGGGUCAUCCCGACUUACCAACCCGAUGCAAACUGCGAAUACCGGAGAAUGUUAUCACGGGAGACACACGGCGGGUGCUAACGUCCGUCGUGAAGAGGGAAACAACCCAGACCGCCAGCUAAGGUCCCAAAGUCAUGGUUAAGUGGGAAACGAUGUGGGAAGGCCCAGACAGCCAGGAUGUUGGCUUAGAAGCAGCCAUCAUUUAAAGAAAGCGUAAUAGCUCACUGGUCGAGUCGGCCUGCGCGGAAGAUGUAACGGGGCUAAACCAUGCACCGAAGCUGCGGCAGCGACGCUUAUGCGUUGUUGGGUAGGGGAGCGUUCUGUAAGCCUGCGAAGGUGUACUGUGAGGUAUGCUGGAGGUAUCAGAAGUGCGAAUGCUGACAUAAGUAACGAUAAAGCGGGUGAAAAGCCCGCUCGCCGGAAGACCAAGGGUUCCUGUCCAACGUUAAUCGGGGCAGGGUGAGUCGACCCCUAAGGCGAGGCCGAAAGGCGUAGUCGAUGGGAAACAGGUUAAUAUUCCUGUACUUGGUGUUACUGCGAAGGGGGGACGGAGAAGGCUAUGUUGGCCGGGCGACGGUUGUCCCGGUUUAAGCGUGUAGGCUGGUUUUCCAGGCAAAUCCGGAAAAUCAAGGCUGAGGCGUGAUGACGAGGCACUACGGUGCUGAAGCAACAAAUGCCCUGCUUCCAGGAAAAGCCUCUAAGCAUCAGGUAACAUCAAAUCGUACCCCAAACCGACACAGGUGGUCAGGUAGAGAAUACCAAGGCGCUUGAGAGAACUCGGGUGAAGGAACUAGGCAAAAUGGUGCCGUAACUUCGGGAGAAGGCACGCUGAUAUGUAGGUGAAGUCCCUCGCGGAUGGAGCUGAAAUCAGUCGAAGAUACCAGCUGGCUGCAACUGUUUAUUAAAAACACAGCACUGUGCAAACACGAAAGUGGACGUAUACGGUGUGACGCCUGCCCGGUGCCGGAAGGUUAAUUGAUGGGGUUAGCGCAAGCGAAGCUCUUGAUCGAAGCCCCGGUAAACGGCGGCCGUAACUAUAACGGUCCUAAGGUAGCGAAAUUCCUUGUCGGGUAAGUUCCGACCUGCACGAAUGGCGUAAUGAUGGCCAGGCUGUCUCCACCCGAGACUCAGUGAAAUUGAACUCGCUGUGAAGAUGCAGUGUACCCGCGGCAAGACGGAAAGACCCCGUGAACCUUUACUAUAGCUUGACACUGAACAUUGAGCCUUGAUGUGUAGGAUAGGUGGGAGGCUUUGAAGUGUGGACGCCAGUCUGCAUGGAGCCGACCUUGAAAUACCACCCUUUAAUGUUUGAUGUUCUAACGUUGACCCGUAAUCCGGGUUGCGGACAGUGUCUGGUGGGUAGUUUGACUGGGGCGGUCUCCUCCUAAAGAGUAACGGAGGAGCACGAAGGUUGGCUAAUCCUGGUCGGACAUCAGGAGGUUAGUGCAAUGGCAUAAGCCAGCUUGACUGCGAGCGUGACGGCGCGAGCAGGUGCGAAAGCAGGUCAUAGUGAUCCGGUGGUUCUGAAUGGAAGGGCCAUCGCUCAACGGAUAAAAGGUACUCCGGGGAUAACAGGCUGAUACCGCCCAAGAGUUCAUAUCGACGGCGGUGUUUGGCACCUCGAUGUCGGCUCAUCACAUCCUGGGGCUG
Molecule: ribosomal RNA, 2527 nt
Filed under: human gut metagenome
Description: bacterial LSU rRNA
Rfam family: Bacterial large subunit ribosomal RNA
Source: RNAcentral